Molecule: long non-coding RNA, 992 nt
Organism: Dromaius novaehollandiae (emu)
Lineage: Eukaryota; Metazoa; Chordata; Aves; Casuariiformes; Dromaiidae
Source: Ensembl
GGUCCGCGACGGCGGGUUUCUCCAGCCUCGCUGCCCCGUCUUCUCCCGCCAUCGUUUCCCGUCACCUGCCACAUACUGUCGAAACGCCGAGAUAACAGCUACAUCGGUACUGCUUGUUCAGCAUCUGCUGCAACAAGGAAAUACAGCCGGGGAGCUAACAACUGCAGUACAAAUUCUGAUUAAUAAUAAAUGCCCUUUUAUUUUUAUUUACAGGUGAGGCAGCUGUUACGAGAUGACAGUCACAAGGCAAAGGAAGGCGGGAAGAUUUUUAGACACUAAGGCUGAAAAAACCUGCAUAACAAGCAAGAAGUGGCAACGCUUAGCUCCAGCRGCUUUGCCUGGAAAGGAAAACCCAGCGACUAACCAGAAACAGACUCAGUCGCUGCACCUCCGCCGCCAGCCAAAGCUGGAAAGAAAGAGGCAGUGCGGCAUAUGGGAUUUUAAAGCAAUUUCAUUUUCUUAACAUUCAAGUCGUUUUGUUCAAGGAGCUCUUUUUUGAGCAGAUGGUGUCCCUUUAAACRUUGGAAAAGGCAUGGUGCUGGCAAGCCUGCCAACAACCUUGUAGAAAUUAAAAAUCACCACUUAGGAGAAGGGCAUUUCCGAUGGCUGGCUUUCAUCCCAAGGCUAGUCCCGUGCCCACAUGACCGAAGAUUUUCUCUCCCCGUCACGGUGUGAUCGACCUCUCCAGCUGGGUUGUCUUGGGAACGUUGUCCUGACCCCYGGCCCACGCCGGUUCCCCCUUUGGGUGUGAUUGCAGGGCUCAGGCGGGGGGGUAGCAGGAAUGGGGGACACCUGAAAAGUCCCUGUUUUCCUGCACAACUUCAGCGCCUCAGUCCCCAGCGGGUUUUUCCUGCUGAGCCACAGGCAGGGGGGAUUCCCCCCCCCACCCCGGGAGCCUACCUGGAAAUGCGCCUGGCUCGGAAAUGGGACCAAAUCAAACGCGGGCAAAUGUUCAAAAUUAUCGUUUUGCUGCCUGUUAAUUAACAUUUCCU